Hibiscus syriacus is the source of this 456-nucleotide long non-coding RNA. RefSeq lists it as uncharacterized. NCBI's taxonomy places the organism in Eukaryota, Viridiplantae, Streptophyta, Magnoliopsida, Malvales, Malvaceae. The record is from RefSeq and is a predicted model, not a curated record. The transcript is spliced from 2 exons.
UCGCUUCAACUCUUCCCGUUGUGCAAAGAACCUCAGUGUUAAGUUUCUGUGGAUUGUUUGAUGCUUUUACUGAUUCUGGAAGAUAAUUGCAGAACCAUCUGUUCAUGGGGUUUCGGUAGACAUGCAGUUCGUCAAAGUCACAAAUGGUUUUGGUUUCUAUAAUUCUAUUUUAUUUCAAGACUCAAUGUUUUUCUUUAAAGAAUAAUGUGCGACAGACCUAGCUAGAAAAACAGUUGAAAGUUUCGUGGUAGUGAUACUGUGGAUGCUGGUAGUCGCUAGUUGUCGAUUACUAGCUUUGGGUACAAUCUUUUAUUGGCACAUUUGCGGCAUAGUUUCUUAGCUAGCUUCGUGUUGUAUCUAGUUCUUGUUUCCAGGUUGCAGGGACUAGUUUCCUAACAGUAUGCUAGUGUUUCCUAGUGUAAUUUCAACAUGGUUCCUCUGUCAGUGUCUAUAUUG